ACGUGUGUUAAUGACGUCUGGAAGAAGAAAACGUGUUUUCGGUCUCGCGAAUCGUUUUAUUUAUGUAAAAAUAGUCAAAUAAGUGCCAUGAGAGAAACUAAGGCACCGGUGGCUACUAAGCCGGCUAAAGGUUUUUUGGCUUUGAAUCUGAAAGAGGAGCCUGAAUUCAAGACGAAAGUCCAGGAGAUGAAGAAGCGACCCAAAAAGGGACAACAAACAAGUCCAAGAGUGAUUUAUGUUGGCCAUCUUCCCACUGGGUUGUUUGAGCCUCAGCUCAAAUCCUACAUUGAACAGUUUGGAAAUGUCGUCAGGUUACAACUGGCCAGGAGUAAAACGGAAAAAAAAACUUGGGAUCCAUUAUCUUGAAAAUGUAAGAGUGGAAUGUGUUGUGUGAUGCACAGGUGUGAAGAAUGGCACCGUCUGAAAAUGACCUCAGAUGUAACAGUUGUCUGUGGUGAGAUAACUGUGCCGACAGUAUUGUGGUACGUUAAGCUUAUUGCCUGCUUUGUAUAGCAGUGUGAUUAAACCCAUGUCCCAACAUUACAGCCCUUGACUCAUGGAAACAGCCAUGCACCAAUCAGAUUUAGAUACCAUUGUUAGAGUUCAUAUUGGGAGGUGAUACAGGCUAAAUGAUUUGACCUUAUACCACAGUGUUGUUGAAUACUCGUUUCUGAUUGGCUAGAAGGGCAUUUUACCCAGAUAUUGGGACAGUUGGAUGUCCUGAUUACUGAAAGACCAAUGGAUUUUUUUAAAGGCUGGUGAUGAUUUUUGGGGAUCAAAGAGGCCGAUGGCCAAUAUAUAUCACAAUCAUUAAAUUGGAAAAAUUGACCAAAUUUCCCAGACAGCCAUGUAUGCAUUAUUGCAUCUGUUUUAAAAUCAAAGAAAUGUGACUUAGAUUAGUAAAAAACAAACUACAUAACAUAAUGGUAAUCAUUUUAUUUGAAUGGUAAAUCUCUGAAUAAACUGGGUAAAUUAAGAUGGCAUAGGCCUACUCACAAUACAGGUGAAUGCAUAUUCAAUAGGCUGAUCAAUGGCUGAUCAGUAAAAUAUAUAUUUUUAAAUUGGAAGAAGCCUUUGACUGCAUUCUGAAGUGCCACAGUACACAGCGGUUAUUGGUUAGGGAGCACAAAAGGGUUUACAUCAGCAAGAGCAGUACAGGCCGUGCUCAUGAUUGAGAACACCUAUCCAUUGCAGUGUGUAAUGAAGUGUAGCCUAGUUUUAUAUACGUCAUUCCAGCAGCACAAAAACUAGAAGGAAGUACAUUUUCUUAGAAAUAUGACUUUGCCAUACCCUAGGCCUAUAGUUUAGGCUAUGGAUAAUUUUGAGACCACACUCUGCGCACUUGGUAUAGUGUGCCCAGCAGGGAAUCAGUGUUGAGGGGCACACAUGGACAUCACAAAUGAUCAAACCCUGAGCAAUAUGACAUUUCAUCGAUUACAAAUUACAUGACCCUCCCUUGGACUAAAAAAAGACUAAACCCUCCCCCUGACUGAAAUUGAAAAAAGCAGGACCCUCCCCCAUUUUCCUCCGGGUAACAAUCAUGUACAUUUUGACCACUCCCUUAUCUGAAGAAAUAAUCCACCUUUUCAUUUAUUUAAUUCUAGAAUCAUAUGUUCAGGUUUAACAUUUCCCCUAGCUCUUGAUGUCUUGUAGUGUGUGCGCAUGUUGUGGGAGGAGAGCAGCAGACCCAUUUCAGCUUCACCAGAACUGGGAUAAUAAAGUUCUAUUGCAUUCUCCAGGUAAUCAGGUUCCUACUGAGGUGCAUGAGGAGUUGUUUGUGGGAUCACAGAGAGCUUUUAAGAAGCUGUAGCUCGCUACAACGAGACACACACCAUCGGAGGUCAAGGAGAUGACCGGACGACUCCUACAUAAAGAGGCCAAGCUCCGUAAAAGGCUGGCAGAGAAGGGAAUCCACUACGACUUCCCAGGGUUUGCUUCUCAAGUGCAACAGAAGAAAAAGUUAGAUGACACUGUGAAUGCAUCCACGUGUAAUGAGACGUGACUCCAGUGUGAACCACCUCAGUUCUGGACAGGAGGAGGUCCAUGAAGAUCAACGAUGAGGAUGGCGAAAUCAUCAAGAAUACCCCCGCCCAAAAAAAGUCUAAAGGCAAAUGUAAAGAGAAAGGGGGAUACCUAGUCAGACUGUACAACUGAACGCAUUCAACUGAAUGCCUUCCGCAUUUAACCCCAACCCCUCUGAAUCAGAGAGGUGCGGGGUGCUGCCUUAAUCGACAUCUUUGGCACCUGGGGAACAGCGGGUUAACUGCCUUGCUCUGGCAGAAUGACAGAUUUUUACCUUGUCUGCUCGGGAAUACGAUCGAGCAACCUAAGGAGCAGAGUCUGACUAAGAUUCCUCCUCUGAGGAAGAGGAGACUGAGGAGGAGUCCUUCCUAGAAGGGAGUGAGAAGCCAACAAUGUGUGAAGAGCCCUCAGGGGACAAGAGCCAGUCGUAUAGGAAGGAGCAUAGUGAAUGAACGUCAACGCCUGUUGUUUAAGGGACAAUGACUCAAUUGAAUUGCCUUGCUUGUAAAAAUGUAUCUGCUUUACAAGGUGGUUGGUCCUCUAUAUAAUUGCACAGAGGAGAAUGACUAGAGAGUCAAUGACUGUUUGACAGUGUUAGAGCCUAUGCACCUGUAUAGCACCUCCUAAAGUCCCAUAGCCAAGGCCUAAAAUUAACACCUGACAAAUGUGGGUAGAUUUUGGUAUUUGCUGGUAAGAUGUUGAUUUCACCAGCCCAGUUGGGGGUGGUCAGGGCUCCACAGUGCAAGCAUUUCACUCGCAUUUGUGAAUAAAAAUAGUAGAAGUAUGAUGACAUUUAUAUAAAAUAAAUGCUGGAUUAGCUGUUUUCAAAUUA
This is a long non-coding RNA of Oncorhynchus kisutch (coho salmon), 2854 nucleotides long. RefSeq lists it as uncharacterized. The record is from RefSeq and is a predicted model, not a curated record. NCBI's taxonomy places the organism in Eukaryota, Metazoa, Chordata, Actinopteri, Salmoniformes, Salmonidae. The transcript is spliced from 4 exons.